This 68-nucleotide transfer RNA is filed under the name human gut metagenome. It matches the Rfam family "tRNA". From Rfam's summary of the family: Transfer RNA (tRNA) molecules are approximately 80 nucleotides in length. Their secondary structure includes four short double-helical elements and three loops (D, anti-codon, and T loops). The record is from RNAcentral.
GGGUAUAGUUCAGCUGGUAGAGCAGCGGUCUCCAAAACCGUUUGUCGUGGGUUCGAAUCCUACUGCCC